UCUGAUUCCAAGUGAGGAAGAAACCUCAAGCAGACCAGACUCAGAGGGGUGACCCAUUGCUUAGGCCAUUCUAAUAGUUACAAGGUUCUUACAGAUUGUUGCAUGAGUUUCUUUACAAACAGAAGAGCAACAAAAACAGAGUCCUUAAUUGAAAAUAAAGUAGAGUCCAUCUUGGGUUUCUAAUACAUAGGCGCCUAAGUCCAGCACCGGUAGGCUGCAGGGCAGGACCUCCAGCCAGUGGUGCAACAGGCGUGGCAUCCCGAGGUCAGUUGGUCACCCUGGGGUGCAAGGCCAGGAUCAGUCAUUGGUGUUGUCAAUGCCUUAGACAGAGGGAAAAAGGGCAGAAUCAGUCGGCCGCAAAUAACCGCACCUGAGGCAUUAAUUCACCAGCAGUAAAUCAUCAGGGAAGCAAAGAGAUUGCUAAAGUG
Molecule: long non-coding RNA, 428 nt
Organism: Thalassophryne amazonica
Lineage: Eukaryota; Metazoa; Chordata; Actinopteri; Batrachoidiformes; Batrachoididae
Exons: 3
Source: RefSeq, a predicted model, not a curated record